CCUACGGGAGGCAGCAGUGGGGAAUAUUGGACAAUGGGCGCAAGCCUGAUCCAGCAAUGCCGCGUGUGUGAAGAAGGCCUUCGGGUUGUAAAGCACUUUUAUCGGGAACGCGGUACCCGAGGAAUAAGCACCGGCUAACUUCGUGCCAGCAGCCGCGGUAAUACGAAGGGUGCAAGCGUUAAUCGGAAUUACUGGGCGUAAAGGGUGCGUAGGCGGUGAUUUAAGUCUGCUGUGAAAUCCCCGGGCUCAACCUGGGAAUGGCAGUGGAUACUGGAUCGCUAGAGUGUGUCAGAGGAUGGUGGAAUUUCCGGUGUAGCGGUGAAAUGCGUAGAGAUCGGAAGGAACAUCAGUGGCGAAGGCGGCCAUCUGGGACAAACUGACGCUGAAGCACGAAAGCGUGGGGAGCAAACAGGAUUAGAUACCCUUGUAGUC
RNAcentral lists this ribosomal RNA (432 nucleotides) under uncultured bacterium. RNAcentral describes it as "partial 16S ribosomal RNA". It matches the Rfam family "Bacterial small subunit ribosomal RNA", at positions 338 to 795 of the family's 1533-position model. The record is from RNAcentral.